GGUUAAGCGACUAAGCGUACACGGUGGAUGCCCUGGCAGUCAGAGGCGAUGAAGGACGUGCUAAUCUGCGAAAAGCGACGGCGAGGUGAUAUGAACCUUUGACCCGUCGAUGUCCGAAUGGGGAAACCCAGUGUGAUUCGUCACACUAUCGUUAACUGAAUACAUAGGUUAACGAGGCGAACCGGGGGAACUGAAACAUCUAAGUACCCCGAGGAAAAGAAAUCAACCGAGAUUCCCCCAGUAGCGGCGAGCGAACGGGGAGCAGCCCGGAGUCUGAAUCAGCUUGUGUGUUAGUGGAAGCGUCUGGAAAGUCGCACGGUACAGGGUGACAGUCCCGUACACGAAAGCACACAGGUUGUGAACUCGAAGAGUAGGGCGGGACACGUGGUAUCCUGUCUGAAUAUGGGGGGACCAUCCUCCAAGGCUAAAUACUCCUGACUGACCGAUAGUGAACCAGUACCGUGAGGGAAAGGCGAAAAGAACCCCGGCGAGGGGAGUGAAAAAGAACCUGAAACCGUGUACGUACAAGCAGUGGGAGCACCUUCGGGUGUGACUGCGUACCUUUUGUAUAAUGGGUCAGCGACUUAUAUUCUGUAGCAAGGUUAACCGUAUAGGGGAGCCGCAGGGAAACCGAGUCUUAACUGGGCGUUAAGUUGCAGGGUAUAGACCCGAAACCCGGUGAUCUAGCCAUGGGCAGGUUGAAGGUUGGGUAACACUAACUGGAGGACCGAACCGACUAAUGUUGAAAAAUUAGCGGAUGACCUGUGGCUGGGGGUGAAAGGCCAAUCAAACCGGGAGAUAGCUGGUUCUCCCCGAAAGCUAUUUAGGUAGCGCCUCGUGAACUCAUCUUCGGGGGUAGAGCACUGUUUCGGCUAGGGGGCCAUCCCGGCUUACCAACCCGAUGCAAACUACGAAUACCGAAGAAUGUUAUCACGGGAGACACACGGCGGGUGCUAACGUCCGUCGUGAAGAGGGAAACAACCCAGACCGCCAGCUAAGGUCCCAAAGUCAUGGUUAAGUGGGAAACGAUGUGGGAAGGCACAGACAGCCAGGAUGUUGGCUUAGAAGCAGCCAUCAUUUAAAGAAAGCGUAAUAGCUCACUGGUCGAGUCGGCCUGCGCGGAAGAUGUAACGGGGCUAAACCAUGCACCGAAGCUGCGGCAGCGACACUAUGUGUUGUUGGGUAGGGGAGCGUUCUGUAAGCCGUUGAAGGUGUGCUGUGAGGCAUGCUGGAGGUAUCAGAAGUGCGAAUGCUGACAUAAGUAACGAUAAAGCGGGUGAAAAGCCCGCUCGCCGGAAGACCAAGGGUUCCUGUCCAACGUUAAUCGGGGCAGGGUGAGUCGACCCCUAAGGCGAGGCCGAAAGGCGUAGUCGAUGGGAAACAGGUUAAUAUUCCUGUACUUGGUGUUACUGCGAAGGGGGGACGGAGAAGGCUAUGUCAGCCGGGCGACGGUUGUCCCGGUUUAAGCGUGUAGGUGUGUGUUCCAGGCAAAUCCGGUUCACUUUAACACUGAGGCGUGAUGACGAGGCACUACGGUGCUGAAGUGAUAAAUGCCCUGCUUCCAGGAAAAGCCUCUAAGCAUCAGGUAACACGAAAUCGUACCCCAAACCGACACAGGUGGUCAGGUAGAGAAUACCAAGGCGCUUGAGAGAACUCGGGUGAAGGAACUAGGCAAAAUGGUGCCGUAACUUCGGGAGAAGGCACGCUGAUAUGUAGGUGAAGCCCCUGCGGGCGGAGCUGAAAUCAGUCGAAGAUACCAGCUGGCUGCAACUGUUUAUUAAAAACACAGCACUGUGCAAACACGAAAGUGGACGUAUACGGUGUGACGCCUGCCCGGUGCCGGAAGGUUAAUUGAUGGGGUUAGCGGCAACGCGAAGCUCUUGAUCGAAGCCCCGGUAAACGGCGGCCGUAACUAUAACGGUCCUAAGGUAGCGAAAUUCCUUGUCGGGUAAGUUCCGACCUGCACGAAUGGCGUAAUGAUGGCCAGGCUGUCUCCACCCGAGACUCAGUGAAAUUGAACUCGCUGUGAAGAUGCAGUGUACCCGCGGCAAGACGGAAAGACCCCGUGAACCUUUACUAUAGCUUGACACUGAACACUGGUCCUUGAUGUGUAGGAUAGGUGGGAGGCUUUGAAGCGUGGACGCCAGUCUGCGUGGAGCCGUCCUUGAAAUACCACCCUUUAAUGGCUGGUGUUCUAACGUGGACCCGUAAUCCGGGUUGCGGACAGUGUCUGGUGGGUAGUUUGACUGGGGCGGUCUCCUCCCAAAGAGUAACGGAGGAGCACGAAGGUUAGCUAAUCCUGGUCGGACAUCAGGAGGUUAGUGCAAUGGCAUAAGCUAGCUUGACUGCGAGAGUGACGGCUCGAGCAGGUGCGAAAGCAGGUCAUAGUGAUCCGGUGGUUCUGAAUGGAAGGGCCAUCGCUCAACGGAUAAAAGGUACUCCGGGGAUAACAGGCUGAUACCGCCCAAGAGUUCAUAUCGACGGCGGUGUUUGGCACCUCGAUGUCGGCUCAUCACAUCCUGGGGCUGAAGUAGGUCCCAAGGGUAUGGCUGUUCGCCAUUUAAAGUGGUACGCGAGCUGGGUUUAGAACGUCGUGAGACAGUUCGGUCCCUAUCUGCCGUGGGCGCUGGAGAAUUGAGGGGGGCUGCUCCUAGUACGAGAGGACCGGAGUGGACGCAUCACUGGUGUUCGGGUUGUCAUGCCAAUGGCACUGCCCGGUAGCUAAAUGCGGAAGAGAUAAGUGCUGAAAGCAUCUAAGCACGAAACUUGCCCCGAGAUGAGUUCUCCCUGAGACUUUAAGUCUCCUGAAGGAACGUUGAAGACGACGACGUUGAUAGGCCGGGUGUGUAAGCGCAGCGAUGCGUUGAGCUAACCGGUACUAAUGAACCGUGAGGCUUAACCUU
RNAcentral lists this ribosomal RNA (2903 nucleotides) under Enterobacter cloacae complex sp. P20B. RNAcentral describes it as "23S ribosomal RNA". It matches the Rfam family "Bacterial large subunit ribosomal RNA". The record is from RNAcentral. Lineage: Bacteria; Pseudomonadati; Pseudomonadota; Gammaproteobacteria; Enterobacterales; Enterobacteriaceae.